UGGCGACCGGCGGACGGGUGCGUAACGCGUAUGCAACCUGCCUGACACAGGGGGAUAAUCCGAAGAAAUUUGGUCUAAUACCCCAUAAUACCGAUAUAGGCAUCUAUGUUGGUUGAAAGCUUUGGUGGUGUCAGAUGGGCAUGCGUUGUAUUAGCUAGUUGGUGAGGUAACGGCUCACCAAGGCGACGAUACAUAGGGGGACUGAGAGGUUAACCCCCCACACUGGUACUGAGACACGGUCCAAACUCCUACGGGAGGCAGCAUG
Molecule: ribosomal RNA, 265 nt
Filed under: uncultured bacterium
Lineage: Bacteria
Description: partial 16S ribosomal RNA
Rfam family: Bacterial small subunit ribosomal RNA
Source: RNAcentral